AUUGAACGCCGGCGGCAGGCUUAACACAUGCAACUCGACCGGGGUGAUGGUGCUUGCACUAUCACUUAGCGGCGGACGGGUGAGUAAGGCCUAGGAAUCUGCCUCUUCGUCGGGGACAACACCUCGAAAGGGAUGCUAAUACCGCAUACGUCCGCCGGGAAAGAGCAGGGGAUCCCUUGUGACCCCGCCCUCAUACCUCAGCCCAAGUCGGAUUAGCGAGUUGGUGGGGUAAAGGCCUACCAAGGCGACGAUCUGUAGCGGGUCUGAGAGGAUGAUCCGCCACACUGGGACUGAGACACGGCCCAGACUCCUACGGGAGGCAGCAGUGGGGAAUAUUGGACAAUGGGGGGAACCCUGAUCCAGCCAUGCCGCGUGUGUGAAGAAGGCCUUAUGGUUGUAAAGCACUUUAAGCGAGGAGGAGGCUCUUUUGGUUAAUACCCAAGAUGAGUGGACGUUACUCGCAGAAUAAGCACCGGCUAACUCUGUGCCAGCCGCCGCCGUAA
RNAcentral lists this ribosomal RNA (503 nucleotides) under uncultured bacterium. Its description in RNAcentral is "partial 16S ribosomal RNA". It matches the Rfam family "Bacterial small subunit ribosomal RNA", at positions 30 to 523 of the family's 1533-position model. The record is from RNAcentral.